CAAAACCUAAUUCACACUCUUAUAAUUCCAAAAUUGCUCUCCACAUAUAUUAUUGAUGCCAAAAUCUGGUCGAACUUUGUUGCAACUAGAUAAUUACCUCAACACCUGAAUUUGUUUGAUUGGAGACAGAUUCUAUUCGCACUUCCUCACUUUGACACAUGAACCUUUUUCGACAAUGUGCACCUUUUAGAAAAUCUACCUGCGUUCACAACAAACUGUUAGGUGGGGUGCCAUAUGUUUUUCCGGCGUGAUCUCUCCGACGCUCAAGUUAGUGUCAAGGCCAUUUCAAAAAACUUUCGCCACCACCUUUGCGGCUAGGAGUGGGCAUAUCGAAUUUCGGUUUGGGUUACAACCUGUUCAAGUUAGAGAAUUCAACCCAAUCGGGUUUGAAAUUCAAACUCAAACCGAACCGAACCGAAUUUAAUUUGGUUUGGGUUGAAAUUAAUUUAGUUCGGUUUGGUUCAGGUUACAAAUUCGAGUUGGCAAGGAUUUCUCUUUUUAUUUGUCUCGACACUUUCCCAUCAACCAAACAAAAUUUUCCCAUUAACCAAACAAAGAAUCCAAAGAAACCAUAAAGCAGAAAAAAAAUAAAGAUAGUAACAAAUCAACAAGGGGAAAAAAAGUGUGAAGAUUAAGUACAAAAAUUUAUCAUGGAAGCUUUAUGCCUGGAUCUAGGAUUAAAAGUUGAGCUUCCCCGAACAAGGGGACAAUGGCGAUCAUUGGCAUGCAGCGGCGAGCUAGGCACUGCAGAUGAUGACAGCUGUAGUGCGUGUGUUUGUGCGAAGCCGAAGAAAAAAAACGAUUAGCUAGCAGCUGGUCAGCUAGUUGGCAAUUGUUUUGUGUGUGUUAUUGACCCAACUAGGGAUGGCAAAUUUUUCCAGACCCGGCCUGGACCUGGAAAAACCCAGACGAUCCGGUCCGGGUUUAACUCUUACCGGAUGCAUUAAUAAUGCAGAUCUAGUUUGCUUUUUUUUCAAAUCCAGACAUAUCCAGGUCUGGUUCCGGGUUUAAGUGAACCCGAAUUUCUAGAACCCAGACUUGGACUACACUAUUUUUAUAAAUUAAUUUUUGUUGCAAAGGCUUAAAAGCAAACAAAACAAACCUAGAAACCCUAAAGCAAAACAAACAAAACACACUAGCCGCCACCUUAGGGAAAAACAAAAAAACAAAAAAACUUGAACAAAACAAGCCCUAGCUGCCACCUCAAUCUUCAUAUUCCUCAUCCCCAACGCUCAACAUCAAUUCAAUGGUUCAUCAAUACAUCAUCAAUUUAAAUCAUCCUCAGUUCAUCAUCCAUUACCAUCAAGAACAACAAACAACAACCAAGCUCCACCACCGCCAAAUUUAAUCUCGCCUCUCACCAAAGAGCAAGCUUUGCGCUAGCCGUUAACCCUUCUCGCCGGCAAUCACAUUUUUCACCGGACUUAACCACCUAUCGCCAUCAAUCAAAGAUAAUUUUCAUUUCUUUCUCUCUAUUUCUUUUAAAUUUUUUGCUUCUACUUAUUUCUGGUAAUUAUUAAUUUUGUUGUUGUGAAUAGCCAAAUGUAGCAUUUUAACACAUAAUGUCGAUAUAAUUGUAAAUUUUUUUAUUGAAGCAAGUAAAUUUAGUUGAAACCCCAUGAAUUUGACCUAUUAUUUUCUGCUUCUGCAAUUCCAAAGAGGCAAAAGUGGCAAGCAUUAAGUUUGCACGCCUUCAUCCAACUACCGGGUUUAGAACCCGCAAUCCGAAAAUCUGAAUUUUUCUGGGUUGAACCCAGUCCGGACCCGUAGUUGAAUAAUUCGGGUUUAUAUCCGGAUCCAGGAAGAUAAAUUGUCAUCCGGGUCCGGAACCAGAAAGGCCAAACCCAGACCCGGAUUUUGCCAUCCCUAGACCCAACAAACACAAAAAAUCUAACAACACGAUUGAAAGAUGACGAUUUGACCAAGAAGGAAUAUUCGACAAAGUCCCAUAUCCUCAUGUGCUAUGGGAUUCCGUUUGUUUUGGGCUUGUCUUCUAUGUUGAUGCCUGGUGUGUAAUCUCUAAUGCUAUGAGUGUCAAUGUGCAAGUAUACACAAUAAGUAAUAUACUUAUGAGUAUUCAGAUCAUCUCCAUAGGGAUUGAUGUUAUCAGAUUUGCUACAGCAAUCUUAACAAUGCAGUUUUGUUUUAAAUUAAAAUAAGACAAUUUAUAAAACUAAUAAUAUAAUUAAAAUAAAAAUGAAAUUAAAAAAAUUCUUACGUCAACACAAGGAUAUAAUCAAUGGGAAUGGAGUAGUUGAGUGAAUACACUCACUUAAUGACUUUGACUUUGUUUUCAAUUACAAUGCCGUUACUACAUCAUCUACUACAACACUAGGCAGAAUCUCUCAUGCAUCCUCAGCUGUCACCUGUUGGAUAUCUUAUAUUUAAUGCAACAUAACAGUGACCAAUUGUUAUGCCAACAUUAAAUAUAACAUUAAACGAUCUAGGUUAUAUUUACCCUACAAAGUGAAUCUCUAUGUUUAGUACAUCACUAAUUUUAUAUCAAUGAUGACCCUGUUCAUAUUGAGAUUAACUCAACUUGGGAAACUCAAUCUAAAACCAAGUGUUGUCUUAAUUCGAUCCACUAAGUCAUACUUUUUUUAAGCUCUUUCUUAGUUAAUAUCCUUAAAUGAGUGAUCAGCCGAAAUAGAUCAUUAAAAUAAAUAUAAUUAAGACAAAAUGUUAUAACAAACACAGAGAAACACAUGUAUGACAGUCAAACAUCCAUUAAGAUCGUUUAUCACUCAACUACAAUCAAAUUCAGUUCGUGAUUUACGAUAGAAAAAUAAAUAAAAGAGUUUCAGCCAUCAAAUACAUCCCAAUGAAUAAAUAGAAAACAAAAAAAAAAAAUAAGAAGAACUUAUUUCGGAUUAAUCUCUGCGAUUUCUCCUCUAGUACAGUCUUCAAUCUAUCUCUUAAUUUUUGUUUUUCUUGUUGUUUAUUUGCAGUAUAUCCUUUGGGUGACGGCUCUCCCUUUUCUUUUGCAAGCAUGCUCCUUUUAUAACUAAAAAUUAGGGCAACCGAGAGUAUGUGGUGCAUAUCCUUCAUUUUUGAAAACUUUAUAUCACAAUUUUUUAAUUAUCUCGUGCGAAAUAUUCUCUGUCAUUACUCCAGGAUUGCUACAAUAAUGGCUUCAGUAUCUUCACUGUUUUUUACUUAUUUCAAUUCUUAUGUAGUCAAGUUUUUUCAUUAUCUUUGCAGGUCCGUUGCAACAACAUUCAUUCCUUAAAUUUUGAGCUUUCGGUCACCUACAAUUAAACAUAUAAUCUAAAUAUAAAUUAUUCUAAAAAAACAACUCAAUUUAUUAGAAUUAGACUAAAAUGGACGUUCAUGCAAAAUAUAAAUAAAAUACAAUAAAAAUUACAUCAUUUACUCUCUAAGUAUUACCGAUUCAAGUUUAAAAGUGUCAUGAUAACUCUAUGAAGUUUAAAUUAAGCAUAUAAUCUAGGUACAAAUUAUUCUAAAAAACAACUCAAUUUAUUAAAAUUAGACUAAAAUAGACGUUCAUGCAAAAUAUAAAUAAAAUGCAAUAAAAAGCACAUUAUUUACGCUCUAAGUAUUACCGAUUCAAGUUCCCAUCUCAUCCAUAUAAUCAUCAUCAUCAUUAUCAUCAUAAUAUUCAUGCGGGCUGGAUUUUUCCAGUGACAUCAAUAGUAGUGCUAAUUCAUUUUUUAAGAUUUUUUUAAUUUUUAUUUUAACAUUGAUACUUUAAAUGAGACAGAGAUGGAUUUGUGAGAAUUAAAAAUGAAAGGUAGAAGAGAUUGAGAAUUAUUGAAUUAGAUUUAGAAAUUCAAUCCAAAUGGAUUCUAGGGUCAACCCAAACCGAACUGAAAACUGAAAUAAAUUUUUGGUUCGGUUCGGGUUGACUAAAAAAGGACACCCACCCCUACUUGUGGCUUAAUUCAUUUGCCUUUUUUUUUUUUUUUAUAUAUAUUAGAAGGCAUUUUAAUUGUUAUCUUAAAGAAAUUAAAAGAAAGAGACUGAGUAAAGAAAGACCAAAAUUUUCUUCCAAAAAGAAAAUAAGAAAAGAGCCAAAAAAAGAGAGAAAAAACUUACUUACCUAAUUGUGAGACUUUUAUAGGCAGCCAAGAUCACUGCCUCAAUAUUGAUGCCUGGACGCACUACAAGAUCGUUGAUGAACUGGCUUCGUGCCCAGAUAUCUUGAAAAAAAUCACGGGUUGGCCUUAACCUAACCCCAUAGUUGACUUAGUGCAGAUUCCCUUUUCACAUCAACCAACCGACCACGCAUGCUCAAUUCCCACGAGCUGAUCUCCCACACCUUAACUAAUGAGAGCAGGAUUCGCACUAGGCAACCUUUGGUUGUGCUCACAUUUCACACCUCAAACAUAUAUUACUUCAGUUUUUUUUUUUAAUAAACCUUAGAACCUGACCUUUUUUCUCUCUCUCUCAAGCCACAUUCUAGAGUAUUCUCCAAAUAUCUUUGUUUUCUUCGCCGAUUUGGCAAUCUUUCUCUUUUUCUUUUUUCUUUCAUUUUGCUUUGCUUGUUUCUUUAGCCUUAAUGGCGUUUUGUCCUUUCAUUUUUAAAUGUAUUAUCUCCA
RNAcentral lists this long non-coding RNA (4559 nucleotides) under Citrus sinensis (sweet orange). Its description in RNAcentral is "long non-coding RNA (CSIN_LNC001407)". Lineage: Eukaryota; Viridiplantae; Streptophyta; Magnoliopsida; Sapindales; Rutaceae. The record is from RNAcentral.